UCGAGCGAACAGACGAGGAGCUUGCUCCUCUGACGUUAGCGGCGGACGGGUGAGUAACACGUGGAUAACCUACCUAUAAGACUGGGAUAACUUCGGGAAACCGGAGCUAAUACCGGAUAAUAUAUUGAACCGCAUGGUUCAAUAGUGAAAGACGGUUUUGCUGUCACUUAUAGAUGGAUCCGCGCCGCAUUAGCUAGUUGGUAAGGUAACGGCUUACCAAGGCAACGAUGCGUAGCCGACCUGAGAGGGUGAUCGGCCACACUGGAACUGAGACACGGUCCAGACUCCUACGGGAGGCAGCAGUAGGGAAUCUUCCGCAAUGGGCGAAAGCCUGACGGAGCAACGCCGCGUGAGUGAUGAAGGUCUUCGGAUCGUAAAACUCUGUUAUUAGGGAAGAACAAAUGUGUAAGUAACUAUGCACGUCUUGACGGUACCUAAUCAGAAAGCCACGGCUAACUACGUGCCAGCAGCCGCGGUAAUACGUAGGUGGCAAGCGUUAUCCGGAAUUAUUGGGCGUAAAGCGCGCGUAGGCGGUUUUUUAAGUCUGAUGUGAAAGCCCACGGCUCAACCGUGGAGGGUCAUUGGAAACUGGAAAACUUGAGUGCAGAAGAGGAAAGUGGAAUUCCAUGUGUAGCGGUGAAAUGCGCAGAGAUAUGGAGGAACACCAGUGGCGAAGGCGACUUUCUGGUCUGUAACUGACGCUGAUGUGCGAAAGCGUGGGGAUCAAACAGGAUUAGAUAUCCUGGUAGUCCACGCCGUAAACGAUGAGUGCUAAGUGUUA
This 781-nucleotide ribosomal RNA is filed under the name uncultured Staphylococcus sp. RNAcentral's name for it is "SSU rRNA". It matches the Rfam family "Bacterial small subunit ribosomal RNA", at positions 62 to 825 of the family's 1533-position model. Lineage: Bacteria; Bacillati; Bacillota; Bacilli; Caryophanales; Staphylococcaceae. The record is from RNAcentral.